Molecule: long non-coding RNA, 736 nt
Filed under: Homo sapiens (human)
Lineage: Eukaryota; Metazoa; Chordata; Mammalia; Primates; Hominidae
Description: non-protein coding lnc-CLCA2-1:1
Source: RNAcentral
AUGGAAAGAGCUAGCACAAUCACAUAUUUGAAAGGAGAAACAAUAGGUACUGAACCGGAGGGAAAGGGCGAAGGCUGAGUGUACCAGCACCAGCCUGGAGAAUCCACAAUUCCACUUCCUAUCCAAGGUAAGUUUCCGAAAAUAGUAUAUAAACAAGUUGCACAUUAUACCUUUAGCCAUCAUCUGCCCUUUCAAAUAUCUGGUCUACAUGAAAAGAGAAAGAGGAAAGGCCAAAACGAAAACAAAAGGAAACAAAAACAAAACGCAACCCUCUCAAAAACAAAAGAAAAAAAAACCCAAAAUCUUUUUUACUACACAGAGCAUAAGGUCAAAAACUUACAGUACCAGUGUCCCCUUCAAGCCAUGGAAGAAAAACAUCCACAUAAAGCCUUAGCAAGAAUUUCCACUCUGAGGCUUUGUAACAUGCUGAAGACAGGGCCCUGGGGGUGCUGCUGCCAUUUUGGAGGCCACCAACUGGGGUGGAGAAUCAGUGAACAGCACGUCUCAUGCACUUGGAAGAUCACCAGCCAAAUAUGCACUGGUGGCCUGGUGGAGCAUGGCUAGGUGACUGCCUACCCCCAACACUGAACCACUCCUAUCCUGGAUGACCUACUUCUUAGGUCUGUCUCACAUUUCACAAAAGAGCUGGAAGUCUGCAUUUCUCAUUCAUCACAAAACAGGACAAAGCACACACACUCUAGUAUCUUUGGUCAUCAAAGGCCAUUUCCAACAGACC